This 273-nucleotide ribosomal RNA is filed under the name uncultured prokaryote. Its description in RNAcentral is "partial 16S ribosomal RNA". It matches the Rfam family "Bacterial small subunit ribosomal RNA", at positions 524 to 794 of the family's 1533-position model. The record is from RNAcentral.
UACGGAGGAUGCGAGCGUUAUCCGGAUUUAUUGGGUUUAAAGGGUGCGUAGGCGGCUUUUUAAGUCAGCGGUGAAAUUUUGCAGCUUAACUGUAGGAAUAGCCGUUGAAACUGUGUUUCUUGAGUACAAUUUGAGGUAGGCGGAAUGUGGUGUGUAGCGGUGAAAUGCGUAGAUAUACCACAGAACACCGAUUUGCGAAGGCAGCUUACUAAACUGUCACUGACGCUGAUGCACGAAAGCGUGGUAUCAAACAGGAUUAGAUACCCGGGUAGU